RNAcentral lists this RNase P RNA (399 nucleotides) under uncultured Defluviicoccus sp. RNAcentral's name for it is "RNaseP_bact_a". It matches the Rfam family "Bacterial RNase P class A". Rfam says of the family: Ribonuclease P (RNase P) is a ubiquitous endoribonuclease, found in archaea, bacteria and eukarya as well as chloroplasts and mitochondria. Its best characterised activity is the generation of mature 5'-ends of tRNAs by cleaving the 5'-leader elements of precursor-tRNAs. Lineage: Bacteria; Pseudomonadati; Pseudomonadota; Alphaproteobacteria; Rhodospirillales; Rhodospirillaceae. The record is from RNAcentral.
CCAGACGACCGGAUGGCCGCCUCCGCACCGGUUCGCGCCGGCCGCGGGGGAGGAAAGUCCGGGCUCCACGGAAGCACGGUGCCGGGUAACGCCCGGCGGGGGCGACCCCAGGGAAAGUGCCACAGAGAGGAGACCGCCGGCCGGGACGUUCGCGUCCGCCGGCAAGGGUGAAAGGGUGCGGUAAGAGCGCACCGCGCUGCCGGUAACGGCAACGGCACGGUAAACCCCACCGGGAGCAAGACCAAGUAGGGACGACAGGCCGCUUGAGCGGCCGGGCAUUGUUUUCGCGCCGUCGUCCGGGUCGGUCGCGUGAGGCGUCCGGUAACGGGCGUCCCAGAUGAAUGGUCAUCCCCCGCUUUGCGGCGGGGACAGAACCCGGCUUACAGGUCGUCUGGCAUU